This 361-nucleotide ribosomal RNA is filed under the name uncultured bacterium. RNAcentral's name for it is "bacterial SSU rRNA". It matches the Rfam family "Archaeal small subunit ribosomal RNA", at positions 856 to 1193 of the family's 1478-position model. The record is from RNAcentral.
UUAAAGGAAUUGGCGGGGGAGCACCACAAGGGGUGGAUGCUACGGUUCAAUUGGAUACAACGCCAGGAACCUCACCACAGGCGACAGCAGUAUGAAGGCCAGACUGAAGAUCUUGCCUGACAAGCUGAGAGGUGCUGCAUGGCCAUCAUCAGCUCGUGGUGUGAAUCCUACACCAAGUAGGAGCACAAACUGUCUGGUUAAGUCCAGCAACGAGCGAGACCCAUACCUUUAGUUGCCAACUCUGUCUCCGGGCGGGGUGCACUCUAAAGGGACUGCCCGUGUUAAAUGGGAGGAAGGANUGGGCGACGGUAGGUCAGUAUGGCCCGAAUCCUGUGGGCUACACGCGGCAUACAUUGGCCGG